UACGUAGGGACCAAGCGUUGUUCGGAUUUACUGGGCGUAAAGGGCGCGUAGGCAGCGUGACAAGUCACUUGUGAAAUCUCCGGGCUUAACUCGGAACGGUCAAGUGAUACUGUUGUGCUAGAGUACAGAAGGGGCAAUCGGAAUUCUUGGUGUAGCGGUGAAAUGCGUAGAUAUCAAGAGGAACACCAGAGGCGAAGGCGGAUUGCUGGGCUGAUACUGACGCUGAGGCGCGAAAGCUAGGGUAGCAAACGGG
This 253-nucleotide ribosomal RNA is filed under the name uncultured bacterium. Its description in RNAcentral is "partial 16S ribosomal RNA". It matches the Rfam family "Bacterial small subunit ribosomal RNA", at positions 524 to 776 of the family's 1533-position model. The record is from RNAcentral.